AUGGUUGUAGUUUAAUAAAAAUUCUAGAUUGUGAUUCUGGAGCUGGAGGUUAAAACCCCCCCAUCCAUC
RNAcentral lists this transfer RNA (69 nucleotides) under Callanthias japonicus. Its description in RNAcentral is "tRNA-His". It matches the Rfam family "tRNA". From Rfam's summary of the family: Transfer RNA (tRNA) molecules are approximately 80 nucleotides in length. Their secondary structure includes four short double-helical elements and three loops (D, anti-codon, and T loops). Further hydrogen bonds mediate the characteristic L-shaped molecular structure. tRNAs have two regions of fundamental functional importance: the anti-codon, which is responsible for specific mRNA codon recognition, and the 3' end, to which the tRNAs corresponding amino acid is attached (by aminoacyl-tRNA synthetases). tRNAs cope with the degeneracy of the genetic code in two manners: having more than one tRNA (with a specific anti-codon) for a particular amino acid; and 'wobble' base-pairing, i.e. permitting non-standard base-pairing at the 3rd anti-codon position. The record is from RNAcentral. Lineage: Eukaryota; Metazoa; Chordata; Actinopteri; Callanthiidae.